ACAGCAGCCGCCGCGGUAAUACGAAGGGGGCUAGCGUUGUUCGGAAUUACUGGGCGUAAAGGGCGCGUAGGCGGCCAUUCAAGUUAGAUGUGAAAGCCCUGGGCUCAACCUAGGAAUGGCAAUAGAUACUGGCGAGCUAGAGUGUGUCAGAGGAUGGUGGAAUUCCCGGCGUAGCGGUGAAAUGCGUAGAGAUCGGGAGGAACAUCAGUGGCGAAGGCGGCCAUCUGGGACAACACUGACGCUGAGGCACGAAAGCGUGGGGAGCAAACAGGAUUAGAUACCUCGGUAGUCCCUGUCUCUUAUAU
Molecule: ribosomal RNA, 305 nt
Filed under: uncultured bacterium
Lineage: Bacteria
Description: partial 16S ribosomal RNA
Rfam family: Bacterial small subunit ribosomal RNA
Source: RNAcentral